RNAcentral lists this microRNA (22 nucleotides) under Callorhinchus milii (elephant shark). RNAcentral's name for it is "eshark_NOVEL_61". The record is from RNAcentral. Lineage: Eukaryota; Metazoa; Chordata; Chondrichthyes; Chimaeriformes; Callorhinchidae.
UGUGGGACACGACUAGUAAACC